AACUCAUAUUUUGUCUUUUUGCUUUUGACAGCAGGAACACAUUUUCCCCCUUAGCCCUGAAGAGCAUGCAGACCAUUGUUAGCAAGGAAGCUAGCUUGUGUUUUGCACCAGAGGAAAGCUAAGGGAACCUCCUAAAAUGCCAUGUACGGGUAGAGAAGAGAUCAUGGUUGAUAACAACAAACAAAAAGGAUGGCUAAAAAGUGUUGUAUAGUCAAGAUGAGCAAAUGCUAAAGCAAAAUCAAACCAACUGCUGAGGAAGUCUGGCAUUUCACUAAUGGACAUAACACAAUUCUGGGAAGGCAUUACAUAUUAUACUUGCAUGACUCAGGAUUUAUUCACCAAUGCUACACAUUUAGCACCAGGAAAAAUCAGCAAACAUAUGUCCUACUUUAGAUUGAAUGGAUGCAUUAGUAUAAAUAUGUUCUCAUUGGUGAGUAGGCAUGCUCAUGCCAAACAGAUAUACUUUCAU
Long non-coding RNA from Pan paniscus (pygmy chimpanzee), 469 nucleotides. The record is from Ensembl. Lineage: Eukaryota; Metazoa; Chordata; Mammalia; Primates; Hominidae.